RNAcentral lists this ribosomal RNA (274 nucleotides) under uncultured bacterium. Its description in RNAcentral is "partial 16S ribosomal RNA". It matches the Rfam family "Bacterial small subunit ribosomal RNA", at positions 69 to 339 of the family's 1533-position model. The record is from RNAcentral.
AGAUACAGGGGCUUGCCCUUGUAUCUUAGUGGCGGACGGGCGAGUAACGCGUGAGGAACCUGCCCUUCAGUGGGGAAUAACGGCUGGAAACGGUCGCUAAUACCGCAUGACACAUUGGUACCGCAUGAUACUGAUGUCAAAGGAGCAAUCCGCUGAAGGAUGGCCUUGCGUCCGAUUAGCUAGUUGGUGGGGUAACGGCCUACCAAGGCGACGAUCGGUAGCCGAACUGAGGGGUUGAUCGGCCGCAUUGGGACUGAGACACGGCCCAGACUCC